Molecule: ribosomal RNA, 427 nt
Filed under: uncultured bacterium
Lineage: Bacteria
Description: partial 16S ribosomal RNA
Rfam family: Bacterial small subunit ribosomal RNA
Source: RNAcentral
UGGGGAAUAAUGCACAAUGGGCGCAAGCCUGAUGCAGCCAUGCCGCGUGUAUGAAGAAGGCCUUCGGGUUGUAAAGUACUUUCAGCGGGGAGGAAGGUGUUGAGGUUAAUAACCUCAGCAAUUGACGUUACCCGCAGAAGAAGCACCGGCUAACUCCGUGCCAGCAGCCGCGGUAAUACGGAGGGUGCAAGCGUUAAUCGGAAUUACUGGGCGUAAAGCGCACGCAGGCGGUCUGUCAAGUCGGAUGUGAAAUCCCCGGGCUCAACCUGGGAACUGCAUUCGAAACUGGCAGGCUAGAGUCUUGUAGAGGGGGGUAGAAUUCCAGGUGUAGCGGUGAAAUGCGUAGAGAUCUGGAGGAAUACCGGUGGCGAAGGCGGCCCCCUGGACAAAGACUGACGCUCAGGUGCGAAAGCGUGGGGAGCAAACA